GACGAACGCUGGCGGCGUGCUUAACACAUGCAAGUCGAACGGAAAGGCCCUGCUUUUGUGGGGUGCUCGAGUGGCGAACGGGUGAGUAACACGUGAGUAACCUGCCCCUGACUUUGGGAUAACUUCAGGAAAAUGGGGCUAAUACCGGAUAGGAGCUCCUGCUGCAUGGUGGGGGUUGGAAAGUUUCGGCGGUUGGGGAUGGACUCGCGGCUUAUCAGCUUGUUGGUGGGGUAGUGGCUUACCAAGGGUUUGACGGGUAGCCGGCCUGAGAGGGUGACCGGCCACAAUGGGACUGAGAGACGGCCCAGACGCCUACGGUAGGCAGCGGUGGGGAAUAUUGCGCAGUGGGCGGAAGCCUGAUGCAGCAACGCCGCGUGCGUGAUGACGGCCUUCGGGUUAUAAACCGCUUUCGCCUGUGACGAAGCGUGAGUGACGGUAAUGGGUAAGAAAGCACCGGCUAACUACGUG
Molecule: ribosomal RNA, 468 nt
Filed under: uncultured bacterium
Lineage: Bacteria
Description: partial 16S ribosomal RNA
Rfam family: Bacterial small subunit ribosomal RNA
Source: RNAcentral